AUAGUGAACCAGUACCGUGAGGGAAAGGUGAAAAGCACCCCGGAAGGGGAGUGAAAUAGAACCUGAAACCGUGUGCUUACAAGUAGUCAGAGCCCGUUAAUGGGUGAUGGCGUGCCUUUUGUAGAAUGAACCGGCGAGUUACGAUUUGAUGCAAGGUUAAGCAGUAAAUGUGGAGCCGUAGCGAAAGCGAGUCUGAAUAGGGCGUUUAGUAUUUGGUCGUAGACCCGAAACCAGGUGAUCUACCCUUGGUCAGGUUGAAGUUCAGGUAACACUGAAUGGAGGACCGAACCGACUUACGUUGAAAAGUGAGCGGAUGAACUGAGGGUAGCGGAGAAAUUCCAAUCGAACCUGGAGAUAGCUGGUUCUCUCCGAAAUAGCUUUAGGGCUAGCCUCAAGUGAUGAUUAUUGGAGGUAGAGCACUGUUUGGACGAGGGGCCCCUCUCGGGUUACCGAAUUCAGACAAACUCCGAAUGCCAAUUAAUUUAACUUGGGAGUCAGAACAUGGGUGAUAAGGUCCGUGUUCGAAAGGGAAACAGCCCAGACCACCAGCUAAGGUCCCAAAAUAUAUGUUAAGUGGAAAAGGAUGUGGCGUUGCCCAGACAACUAGGAUGUUGGCUUAGAAGCAGCCAUCAUUUAAAGAGUGCGUAAUAGCUCACUAGUCGAGUGACACUGCGCCGAAAAUGUACCGGGGCUAAACAUAUUACCGAAGCUGUGGAUUGUCCUUUGGACAAUGGUAGGAGAGCGUUCUAAGGGCGUUGAAGCAUGAUCGUAAGGACAUGUGGAGCGCUUAGAAGUGAGAAUGCCGGUGUGAGUAGCGAAAGACGGGUGAGAAUCCCGUCCACCGAUUGACUAAGGUUUCCAGAGGAAGGCUCGUCCGCUCUGGGUUAGUCGGGUCCUAAGCUGAGGCCGACAGGCGUAGGCGAUGGAUAACAGGUUGAUAUUCCUGUACCACCUAUAAUCGUUUUAAUCGAUGGGGGGACGCAGUAGGAUAGGCGAAGCGUGCGAUUGGAUUGCACGUCUAAGCAGUAAGGCUGAGUAUUAGGCAAAUCCGGUACUCGUUAAGGCUGAGC
RNAcentral lists this ribosomal RNA (1070 nucleotides) under Staphylococcus aureus. RNAcentral describes it as "partial 23S ribosomal RNA". It matches the Rfam family "Bacterial large subunit ribosomal RNA", at positions 487 to 1561 of the family's 2925-position model. Lineage: Bacteria; Bacillati; Bacillota; Bacilli; Caryophanales; Staphylococcaceae. The record is from RNAcentral.